AACGAACGCUGGCGGCAGGCCUAACACAUGCAAGUCGAGCGAGGACUUCGGUUCUAGCGGCGGACGGGUGAGUAACGCGUGGGAAUGUGCCCUUCUCUACGGAAUAGCCCUGGGAAACUGGGAUUAAUACCGUAUACGCCCUAUUGGGGAAAGAUUUAUCGGAGAAGGAUCAGCCCGAGUUGGAUUAGGUAGUUGGUGGGGUAAUGGCCUACCAAGCCGACGAUCCAUAGCUGGUUUGAGAGGAUGAUCAGCCACACUGGGACUGAGACACGGCCCAGACUCCUACGGGAGGCAGCAGUGGGGAAUCUUAGACAAUGGGGGCAACCCUGAUCUAGCCAUGCCGCGUGAGUGAUGAAGGCCUUAGGGUUGUAAAGCUCGUUCAGCUGGGAAGAUAAUGACGGUACCAGCAGAAGAAGCCCCGGCUAACUCCGUG
This 433-nucleotide ribosomal RNA is filed under the name uncultured bacterium. RNAcentral's name for it is "partial 16S ribosomal RNA". It matches the Rfam family "Bacterial small subunit ribosomal RNA", at positions 29 to 507 of the family's 1533-position model. The record is from RNAcentral.